UGAGUAAUGUUGGGAUUAGUAUGGU
This 25-nucleotide non-coding RNA is filed under the name Mus musculus (house mouse). Lineage: Eukaryota; Metazoa; Chordata; Mammalia; Rodentia; Muridae. The record is from RNAcentral.